GGGGAAUAUUGGACAAUGGGCGAAAGCCUGAUCCAGCCAUGCCGCGUGUGUGAAGAAGGUCUUCGGAUUGUAAAGCACUUUAAGUUGGGAGGAAGGGUUUCUGGCUAAUAUCCAGGAAUUUUGACGUUACCGACAGAAUAAGCACCGGCUAACUUCGUGCCAGCAGCCGCGGUAAUACGAAGGGUGCAAGCGUUACUCGGAAUUACUGGGCGUAAAGCGUGCGUAGGUGGUUGUUUAAGUCUGGCGUAAAGCCCUGGGCUCAACAUGGGAAUUGCGAUGGAAGCUGGGCGACUAGAGUGUGGCAGAGGGUAGUGGAAUUCCUGGUGUAGCAGUGAAAUGCGUAGAGAUCAGGAGGAACAUCCGUGGCGAAGGCGACUGCCUGGGCCAACACUGACACUGAGGUGCGAAAGCGUGGGGAGCAAACA
RNAcentral lists this ribosomal RNA (425 nucleotides) under uncultured Gammaproteobacteria bacterium. Its description in RNAcentral is "bacterial SSU rRNA". It matches the Rfam family "Bacterial small subunit ribosomal RNA", at positions 356 to 774 of the family's 1533-position model. Lineage: Bacteria; Pseudomonadati; Pseudomonadota; Gammaproteobacteria. The record is from RNAcentral.